AGCCACACAGGCGCACGGCGGGGCACGGCGGGGCACGGGCCCUGCUGCAAACGGGCGCGCUCCCUUCUGGGCAAGCAGGUGCGAGGCGCGCGCCAUGGAACAGCCCUUAGCUGAGUUUCGGUUUGCGCGCAAACGGCCGGCCUGGCCGCCCAACGCAGCAUUUCCAGCCAGGGCGCACAAACCUCGGGAGAGAAGGUGGAAGCCGCAGGGGCUCUAAAGGCAGCCCCAGGUUGGCUAAAGCGGUUCCUGGUACGGACACCAAGGCCCCCGUGCUCGGGCCCUACCCAGCCUGGUUCAGGCCUGUCAUACUCGUCUUUCUCUUUCCUGGGAAAUUGCUGAUGGUUCAAGUAAAGACUCUGAAGCAGUCUCAGGGAUAUACUGCUUGGUAGUAAAAGUCAAGUCUUCAUCAUCUAGUUUACGGCAUGAAUCAACACACAGUUGUUUGAAAAUGCUGAAUGCAGAUUUGUCAGAACUCCCUGAAUCUUCUGCACUUGCUCCUCCUUCUCUCAAACUUGCAUUCUUUGAUGCUUCUGGAUUGUCAUUUUGAAGACCAUUUUCAAGUAUCUUUUUUUUUAUGUUGCAAAAUUUGUUGUUGAAUGCUAGUCAAAACACCACAAAUAGCAUAAUUGUUUGCUGUCUGUCCAUACAUAUCUUGAAUAAAGACAGUAAUAUUUUGUUGAAGAAUGCCAACUAUACCUAACGAGCCAUAAUGUACAGCAGGCGUGAAGGCUGUUCCUCUCAACCUAUCAACAGCAUGUGCAUUUGCUUGUUUCUUCACUAAAAAUUCCAGCAUUUGCUGUCUUUUGCAAACUGCAGCAAGUAAAAGUGGUGUGUUUCCAUCAUUGUUCAGCACUUCAAUAUCCGUAUCAUGGGAAAAUAGUUUUUCUACCAGGAAUGUACUCUCAUUAUAGGACAGCAUAGUGGAGAGCAGUGUUGCUGUAGACAUCCACGUUCCAGCAGAACGAUGCCACAAAUCUCUUCCUGGCAAUGUACAGCCUCCUCAAAGGCAUCCCAUUUUGUUUAUCACCAAUGUCAAUGUGGCAUUUUCAGUUCACCAGGAGAGUCCCCACUUCCACAUGGCCAUUGGCACAGGCCAAACGUACAGCAGCCCUGUCCAUCCACAGCUGAAGGGAUAGAGAAACUGCCAUACAGAUACACACAGAGUAUGCUUCAGCCAUAAAGCUUUGGGAAAUCCUGUCAUUCGCAGCCACAUGGAGAAACCCAGAGGACAUUAGGUCCAAGAAAAUGAGCCUGGUGGAGCAAGUCCCACACUGCGUGACCUCAGGCAUGUGGACUCCAAAAAGCUUUAUCUCCUGCCCAUCCACAGAUGAAGGGAUCAAGAAACUCUGAUAUAUAUACACAAAGGAAUGUUCUUUGGCCAUCAAGAUAAUUAAAGGAUGUCAUUUGGAGGAACAUAGAUGGCCCGCCGAGGCUGCGGCUGCCUCAUCCUGCACUGUGGAUGGAAGCCGCUGAUCUGACAGGAAGUGGAGCUCAGGUGGUAAUGCUCGCUCUUGCUGUGCUGCCAGGUUCUUAACAGGCCAGGGAUGAUACUGGUCCAGGGGUGGGGGAGCCCUGCUCCAGAUGACAGCCAGAGUAGUCUUAAAUUCCUCCUUUGUAUAGCCUUGGAAAACAGAUCAGCGAGGUAGCAGUGAAAGACAUCAUGAUACCAAAUAGAAACAAGGACUUGGAAGACACAUUGGACCUCUUAAUUUCCAGGCCACUUGAUAGUAGAUACAGUUCCUUACAAAAGAACAUGGCUUCAUCUUGGGAAAAGAGGGUGCUGGAGGUGAGGGAAGAUGAAUUAGCCACCAAGACAGUUCACCUUGCAAUUCAAUCAUUUAGGUCUAACUGGAGAAUGAUUGCUGCCAUGUUCCAGAACAAGAAUGAAAGCCUCGUUUCACAAUGAAAAGGUGAAUUUAUAUCUUCUGUGUUAGAUUCUAGGAAAAAAGGAAGUAAAAGAGAUACAGAACAGUCCUUUCAUCCCUCCCCAUCUGCACUUUAUUCUUCCUAACUACAAAUCCCAUGCUGAAAUUCUACUGUACUUGAUAAGCAUACAAUCAUAUUCAGGGCUCUGCCAGGACAAUAUUCUUUUUUUUUUUUUUUUCCUUGAGGUGGAGUUUCACUCUGUCACCCAGGCUGGAGUACAGUGGCGUGUUCUUGGCUCACUGCAACCUCCGCCUCCUGGGUUGAAGUGAGUCUCCUGCCUCAGCCUCCUGAGUAGGUGGGACUACAGGUGUGUGCCACCAUGCCUGGCUAAUUUUUGUAUUUUUAAUAGAGACGGGGUUUCACCAUGUUAGCCAGGCUGGUCUCGAAUUCCUGACCUCAGGCAAUCUGCCGGCCUCAGCCUCCCAAAGUGCUGAGAUUACAGGCAUGAGCCACUGUGCCUGGCCGACAAUAUUCUUAAGUAUAAAGAACAUAUAAUAGUUGGAAAAAUCUAUGAGCAGAAAUAUUUUAGGGGAUAUUUUGUUAUAUAUUCAGUAUUUCUAUAAAUGUUUUCAAAAUAUACAAAAUUUUGAAUGACAUAAUGCUUUCUGUAUUUCCUCUUCUCCACUUGGGCAGUUCUGUGAACACAAAACAUCCCCUCCUGCUCUGAUGUUUCACUUUUUAUAUGGUUUUGAUUGGUGUCCCCACCCAAAUCUCAUGUCAAAUUGUAAUCCCCAAUGUUGGAGGUGGGGUCUGGUGCAGGUGAUUGGAUCAUGGGGGUGGAUCCUUCAUGAAUGGUUUAGCACCGCCUCUUUGGUGCUGUCUCCUGAUAGUGUUCUCAUGAGAUCUUCCUCCUGCUCCCACCAUGUAAGACACGCCAGCUUCCCCUCACUUUCCACCAUGAUUGUAAGUUGCCUGAGGCCUCCCUGGAAGAAUCCACUAUGCUUUCUGUAAAGCCUGCAGAACCAUGAGCCAAUUAAAC
Molecule: long non-coding RNA, 2905 nt
Filed under: Homo sapiens (human)
Lineage: Eukaryota; Metazoa; Chordata; Mammalia; Primates; Hominidae
Description: non-protein coding lnc-RNF17-1:3
Source: RNAcentral